This 517-nucleotide long non-coding RNA is filed under the name Rattus norvegicus (Norway rat). RNAcentral describes it as "long non-coding RNA NONRATT032994". Lineage: Eukaryota; Metazoa; Chordata; Mammalia; Rodentia; Muridae. The record is from RNAcentral.
CUAGCAAGUCACAAUCUCACUUGAGGCGCUGUUUCCUCCUCUGUCAAGUGUGGAUACUAAUGCUUGUCUGGAUCACCUCAUGGAGUUAUUCUAAAACACAACAGGAUAUACUAAUCUGUGUUAUGUGACAGGAGUGUUGGAUAUGAAGUUACACAUCAAAGUCAAAUGUCCCAUCUCCUAAGUUCAACACAAUGAAUUAAUUUUUUCCAGUCUGUGACAGGUCCCAUUGACUCUCUGAUUGAAGGGUAGAUGAAGAAUUCGAUUCUCAUUUAGAGGAUGUGCCCUACAAAACAAAGCUAUUGCUAUUGUCUUUCUACCACCUUGUGUGCUUGUGAAUUUGGGUUCUCAUGUUAAAUGUAUACUUGUGACAAAUGAUUUGAAAAAAGAAAAGCUGAUCAAAGGCCUCUACAAAUAAGAGAUGAACCUGUGAGGCGAAGAGCAAGAGAGUAGCCAGAAAGGUGAGUGGGUCUCUGUAAAGCCUGUGCUCAUCAGGGAAGGCAACUCAGGGCACUGGGUG